AUCAUGAUACUCCUGUCCGGUCAUAAAGUCGAGCAUAUAAGAUGUCGCAACAAGUGAGGGCAGCUUUGGGAGAACCUCAGAGGGGCACAGGCCCGUGG
This is a regulatory RNA element of Eubacteriaceae bacterium CHKCI004, 98 nucleotides long. It matches the Rfam family "pemK RNA". The record is from Rfam. Lineage: Bacteria; Bacillati; Bacillota; Clostridia; Eubacteriales; Eubacteriaceae.